This is a long non-coding RNA of Scatophagus argus, 305 nucleotides long. RefSeq lists it as uncharacterized. NCBI's taxonomy places the organism in Eukaryota, Metazoa, Chordata, Actinopteri, Scatophagidae. The transcript has 4 exons. The record is from RefSeq and is a predicted model, not a curated record.
AGGAUCAAUGUGGCCACGAGAUGCGACUGAAGACCCCGAGAGUCAUAACACACCCUACAAGAUAUACGCACGCUCAAGAUCAAGGAGGCCACUAAAAUUGCCCAUCUGGAUUAAAAACAAGUGAGUGUGCUACAAUCACAGCUGCGUCGUCAUGACAACGAAUAGCAGCGCUGGAGGACAACACUGUGAACAUCGGUCUCAGUGUGACACAACUCAUGAAGAACCUCCAUCAUCAUCAUAUCAUCCAGUGUCAAGUUAACAAUAAUAAAUAUGCAAUGGUCUGUUAGCCUUUCAAAAUAAAACUU